This 7001-nucleotide long non-coding RNA is filed under the name Setaria italica (foxtail millet). Its description in RNAcentral is "long non-coding RNA (SITA_LNC005522)". The record is from RNAcentral. Lineage: Eukaryota; Viridiplantae; Streptophyta; Magnoliopsida; Poales; Poaceae.
AAGAAGGAUCUGUUCCCGUUGCCCAAGGACUACCAUGUGGACUCUUUCCAGAAACAGGAUGUCCCCGAUGUCCUUUCUUUACUUCAAUCUCCUGAAGAAUCUGCAAAUUGUCUUGAAGAGAGUGUUACAGGAUCAGGUCAGUACUUAUGAUGACUUGCUUAUAUCUUCUUGACUCACCUAAACUCUAACAAGUCAUCUGUAAAAGAUUAUCUCAUGACUCUUUUACAUCAGGAUCUUGUCAGACUAGUGGGCAACAAUGUAUAAAUGAAGUCAGCGGUAUGCAGGUGACUUCUAAUAUUGAAGUGUUCCAUCAAGGUCAUGAGGAAAGCUAUGAAAAUAAUGACGGCAAAAUUACUCCUGGUAUCCCUGCCAGCGGUGUGUCUGAAGCUGUAGAUAUUGAAAGAUCGGAAACGGAAAUAGGUCUGGCUCCUCCUGGAGGAACAUCAGCAUUGCCAGAUGAGCAGCUUAACAUGAAGGUUGAGAGCCACGAAGUUGAUGAAUACAGCUGUUGCUAUGAUGAGGACACUUCGAGCUUAUUUGACACUGAAUCGCUGUGCAGCAAAGCAUCCAGUUUGGACAAAGACACUCACAAGGAUCCUCCAAGUGAUCUAUCUACUCUGAGGUCCCCCGAAGUAUCUACAGUUUUUCAGAACCAGUCUGUUCCAGGAUCAGUAGGUAUCAUGUUGCUCGAUCAGAAUGUCCUGUUCAAUUUCUUAUUGUAGUAUUUGCAGCACCUCUGACUCUACCCUUCCUUCCGUUUUUCAAUUAGGAAUCUGUCAAAGCAGCAGGCGAAGAGGUAUAGAUGAACUCCGUGCUAAGCUGCAGAGUUUCAAAGUUUCCAGCACCGUAAAAGGAAGCUACAUUGCUAUGAGCGCCCCUCGCCCGAAGCCAGGUGACAACCUGGGCCAAUCUGCGAUCGCCUUGCUCCGGAACAGGGAGAACGCACCUCCUGCUAAAGCAGGCCAUCAUGCUAUGCCGAACCCUGAUCGCUCGGUCGCGAAGGAGUCGUCAAGACUAGCGCUGCAGCCGAUCAGUGGAAGACCAAGGGAUCACUGAUAGGUAGUUGGUCGUACACCGUAGUUUGUUGUUGACAUUUCGCAUUUGUGUUCAACAUUUGGUGGUGGUGGUGUUCAACCUUUGGUUGAAGAUUAUUGGGUGUGUUCGUGCAGCAUGUAGUGAAGAAGCUGCUCUGUGCAUUUGUUAGUAUUUAAUUAACGUAGUGUGGCCAUGGUAGCAGUGUUUAAGAAGCUGGUAGUCGUGCAGAUGGUUAUGCAAGUGUUGCUUUGGUUUGUACCAUUCCAGUUAUCGUGGACAGAUUUGUUAUGGUCCAUGGUGUUAUUGAUACCUGUAUGCUUGCUUGAACUAAUCUCUUGCGAUGGCUUACGAGAUGCGUGUUGCUGAUCUCCUCAGUUUCAUCUGUUCUGCUGACUUGAGCAUCUGUCGUUUUUGCCUAAUCGAUCUGUUUUAUUAGUACGGUGCUGCUAGUUUGGAAAGUGUAUGUGCCCACUAGCGGCAUUGUCACCGUCCUCCGUGUCGAAGCUGAAGCUUGGUUUGCGCGGUCGAGGAGGCAGGAGAGAAUGAAGUAGCAGGCUAUUCGGAGUAGAAGUUCCUCAGGUCGUUUGGUGUUCCGUGAUCAUGCAUGCUCUGCAAUGGAUAGCAAUCAAUAGUGAUCCACGAUCCUUUGGCAUUCUCUUCCAUGAACGCACGCAUGCACUCACGUAGUCACGUCCGCCGCCCACCCACAAUUCAACCACGUACGUUAUAGAAACUCCACUGAAUCGUCGUCUGUCAUUUUAAUUCCGGCCACCUAGCGCUGCUAUAUAAAUAGACCUCGCUGCUGGACACCAUAGUCACGAGCUCACGACGCGCAGCCUGCAGCCACUCCACUGCCGUAACACACAUAGUAGUCGAAGCAAAGCAAUGGCGCAGCUCCUACGUCUCGCCGCCGCCGUCGCGCUGCUCGUCUUCCUCGCCGCGACGGCUCCUGCGGCCGACGCUGGCCGGGGCGCCCCCACCUCCGCCGCCCCGCCUCUGGCGGCUCGCCUGCGCGCCUUCUCCGUCUCCCUCGACGGUGAACUUAAGAUUAACUAGCUAGCUCGUUCUCCUGCUAACUUUUCUUGUUGUAUCUAACAAACCUGAUCUGUUCACGUGCAGAGGCCGGCGAGGACGGCGGCGGCGCCGGCGGUUUCGCGGAGUGCUGGGACGCGCUGACGAGGCUGGGGUCGUGCACGAGCGAGAUCGUGCUCUUCUUCGUCAACGGCGAGUCGUACAUCGGGCCCGAGUGCUGCGUCGCCAUCCGCGGCGCCACGCGGCACUGCUGGCCCUCCAUGCUCGCCGCCGCCGGCUUCACCGCCGAGGAGGCCGACGUCCUGCGCGGGUUUUGUGACGCCGAGGCCGCACACAAGGGCAGCCCGCCCCCCGCGGGGCCCGUCCCCGCGCCCGGGAAGCCUCUCGUGUGAUCGUGUCGGGAUCCUCCAAUAAAAAAGCUCCGUGCCAGUGUCAAUUUUGCUUGGGCCUUGGGCUUCUACACGCGCACGUUUGCUGCUGAAUAUAUGCAUUGUGUUUCUGGUUUUGUAAGAAUGUGCCAACGAUGAUGGUGCAAGGCUAAUAAAACGGAUUGAGUGCACCAGCAUGCUCAUGAUUGAUGGUUCAUUUCUUUCUUUCUUUUUCCUUUUUUUUGGGGGUCAAAGCGUGCACAACCAAGCCAGCGUUUUGAGGCCGGAGCCGCACGUGGGCUCGAUCGUUCGAUGUGUUCUGAGGUUUGCAGUGGCCCACCACGCAGGACGAUUUGGGCUGAGCCCUGUGAAUUUGUUGUCCAGCCUCUCUUUCUUCUUCGGUGGACAGGGCACUAUUGCGCUUUUUGUUCAUCGUCCCUAGCGCUAGCGGCAUAGCUACACUCAGACUAAGAUAAGAGAAAUCCUUGCCACAUUUCUUUUAAGAAAACAAACGCAAAAAAACCAAAAAAUCUGGCUCGUUUCAUGACACGAAUUGGUUGCACGGAGCCGAUCGAGUACACUACCAAGUGGCAACGUGCAGAGAGAUGCUGCCCAUCAUCCGAAAGAGGCUCCACCGCACCACGGACAGCCACCCAUUCUCUCUUCAGCCAUCGAUCAUCCAUGUGUAUCUUUCCAGUUCGCUGAUCGAUCUCUGCAUCAGCAUGGUGCCUGUCCAUCUGUACCGCUACUGAUAAGGGCUCUCCCUGGCGCGAUUCGAUGCAACGCCACAUCGACCGGCCAGCAAUAAUGGAGAUGGAGAUGGAGAUGGAGAUGCAGGCCGGCAGCAGCUGCCUGCAUUAUUGAUGCCUUCGAUUGGAUCCAAAGUUCCCAACCUACGUACCAUCACUGCUUUGGAUCGGUGCUAAAGGCACUCAGUCACCAAGCACAAAUCUUGUUUUACUUGAAUCAUCUUUUCCCCGAGCUUUUACAAAGUUAAGUUGAUGAUUCUUCUUGUUGAACUGGUGCUUAGCUUAAUUAGUUGGUGUGUGCUUCCCUACUGACCAGUCAUGACUCAUGAGUAGUAUUCCAUAACUGAAAAUUACGUGCCUCUUUUCACUCCAACGAGGAAACCUUAAUUUGUUUUUUAGAAAUUUUAGAAUGGUUGGAAAAAAUAAGAGCCGUCCAUCCUGAAAAAUCUAACGGUGGAAACAAAGGAAGUAUUUGAAGAGAAGUACCAAAGAUUACCAAAUUGAUAGGACAAAGUACCGAAAAUAGUCUUUAAAUUUAUUUUUUAUUUUUUUUCAAAUUAGACAGAGCCUGUUCGUUUAUGCUACUUUGCAGCGGCUUUAGCUGCAGCUGCAAAUCCAAGUAGCUAAGCUGCUGCUUGCUGGCUGCAGCUGCAAAAUAAUCGCAGCUCGCAGCGGCUUAAAAGAAGCACAAAUGACCGCACAGAUAGUACACUAUCUUGGUUUUCCUUCUCGUGGAGGACCUAGGUCCCAUGUGUAUUUCCUGUUUUUUUGUCACUUUAUAAUCGGCACUGACUGAUUGAUGCAUAGAAGCUUCGAAGAACAACGCCCCUUGGUGAAAACAAGAAAAUAGUGAACACGCUCUCGUUGUCAAGAUAGAGUUAUUAGGAAAUGUCAUCAUUUAAUUACAAUUAGUUGGGGAAUUCUGCCCCACAGAUUGCCAAGUUGGUGUUUCUUUAUUCUAAAAAGGAAUGGAGAUUUCUUUUUCUGAAUGUGUGGUUACAACGGAUGGAUGUAUUAGCCCAAUUUGCCAAACUCACCUUUAGUUAGUUGCAAUGAACAUAUUACGUUUCUUAAAAAUGUACAAUAGAUGUAUUUAUCAUAUAUUCCUUGUCGCAACUAGGUGCUCACAUGCUUGUGGAUUUCGUUUUCAGGAGGGAACGGUCCAUCUGCGGCAUAAUAAUGACAGCACAGUGCACAACCGCAACAACACUUAGGAUACAAAACACACUAAUCAUAUAAUUUCAUAUCCUAAAGAACCCACAAGUAGCUGAUCAAGUGUGUAUCCUACAGAUUCGCAAAAAAAAGUGUGUAUCCUACAGAAAAAUAUGAAUUCUGUCGCCAAAAAUAUCCGGAAAAUGCCUAUAAUUCACGGCGAAUUUAUUCAUCUUUGACAUGAGUAGACAAAGUUGGGCGUUAAAUGUUAAUUUCUAUCUCGAUCAGUCUACUAGACCUAGACAAAGUCUAUUCGAAUCAGGACCCCCAAAUCAAAGAGGAAUAAAUAUCUUGGUUUGGGUCGCCAUCAUUCCGUGUGAUAUGCGAGGGAAGCCCUAUCUAGCCUUUUGUUUUUUUUUUCAACCGGCCGACACCUUCUCCCUCUUGUGAUGCAAUUGCAUCUCAUCGUGAUCAUGCCUUUGCUCAAAGUUAAUGCUAAAGGAGAAAAGGAUUGCCAGAGAUUGCUUAAGCCACAAACAAUAUCGUCAUAUUCAUGCGAGAUACAAACACCUGUAGAUCACAUUUUGAUCUUGAGAACCAGCUUCCUUGAUUUGCGUUAAAAGUUUGUGGAGAACUAAUUUUCAGCUCCCUUGAUUGCACAGAUACCAUGCACAAUUGCACAGAUAGUGCACUAGCAGUGAAGUUCAUGGAUAUCCAAUACAACUAGCUCAAAUAGAAUAUUUUUACACGAGCGACUUUUUUUAGCGAAUUAUUCACAGAAUUGAUUUGAUAUGCAAAAUAUUGGCCGCUUCAAAUAAAUCUGUCAUACCAUUAUAUUUAUAUCUAUGAUUAGAGUGCUGAUCGACCUCGGAAUAUUCUAGUAAGACGGAUUAUCCAUCUGCCGACACUGUACGUCGACUUCGAGCGGAGUCAGCCAAUCGCCAAUUCAAGAGGUCGGCGGGGCCGUGCCGGCCACUACUAUCGCGGGACCCACUGCCCGCUGCCCUACGGUACCCUGUCCGGUGCCGGCCGGUGGGCAGUGCACGUAGAUUCAUAUGUGGGUACGGCAUUUCUCAUUUUGUUGUUGAUUUUGCAGCCACGAAAUAUCGGAACAUAUAUAUUUAUGAAUUAUGACACAUGUUGCAUAGAACAACUUAUUGUUGUGCAUAAACCUACAGCAGUUUUGAUAGUACAAGAUAACCUUUUUCAUAAUGGCCAAAGUACCAUACUUUCAUAUUAUUGAUUAUUCCAUCCAUUCGAAAUUGUAGGUCGUUUUGGUUUUUUUUCUAGAUUCAUAGAUAUUAUUAUGCAUCUAGACACAGUGUAUGUUUAGAUGCGUAAUAAUAUCUAUGAACUAGAAAAGUCAAAACGACCUACAAUUUGGAACGGAGGGAGCACUAAGCUUUUCUAAAUAUAUAGAUUUUGCUAUGUAUUUAAAUAUAAUAUUAUAUCGAGAUACAUAACAAAAAUUAUAUAUUAAAAAAUUAAAAUAAUCUAUAUUUUAAAAUGGAAGGAUCGUUGAAAUUGCUCCAUGACAGAGGUUGAAAUUGCUGGUGAAGUUUUUCCUUGCACUUGUGGAGAUAGAUGGAACCAUUUGCCAAGGACCGUCAAGUUGAUCAUGAAUCCAGCGUCCACGGUUUCAUAAUGCGCUACGCAACAAAGUAUGUACACGUGUCGGGUGUUUAGCUUAUUAUACGUGUACGUAUUUCCACAUCGCAAUAACCCACGUCAGCAGUUAACGACCGUCCCAUUCCGCUGGCCGGCCGGCUCUCCGCCUAUAUAACGCGAGCAAGUGCCGAGGUGCCAAGCAGCAACACAAGUAAGCCAAACACAUCAGCUACCAAGCAAGCACCACCAUCCUAUUGUCACUUUCGCGCUUCAACAAGGCCGUCCCGUUUCAUCCAUGGCGGAGGAGAAGCACCACCACCACCACCUCUUCAACCACAAGAAGGACGAUGAGGCGGCGGAGCAGCCCGCCGGCGGGUACGGCGAGUACACGGAGGCGACCGUGACGGAGGUGGUGUCCACCGGCGAGGACGAGUACGACACGUACAAGAAGGAGGAGAAGGAGCACAAGCACAAGCAGCACCUCGGCGAGGCAGGCGCCGUCGCCGCCGGCGCCUUCGCUCUUGUACGUCCUCCUCCUCCUCGAUCUUUCGUGCUUCCUUCGUUGUGCUGAUCAAUCUUUAAUUUCACUGUGUGAUCUAUCGGCCGCGACGCGAAUGAACUUUGGCUCCGAGUUAAAUAAUUCCUUGUGUGCAUGCAGUACGAGAAGCACGAGGCGAAGAAGGACCCCGAGCACGCGCACCGGCACAAGAUCGAGGAGGAGGUCGCGGCGGCGGCGGCCGUGGGCUCCGGCGGCUUCGCCUUCCACGAGCACCACGAGAAGAAGAAGGACCACAAGGACGCCGAGGAGGCCGGCGGCGAGAAGAAGCACCACCACCUCUUCGGCUGAUCUAGCUCGUCUGCACCAGCACCGACGUGUAUCUCUUGUCUACAUAGUAUGCGCUUCUUAAUUUCUCCGUAUAUAUAUGCUGCGCGUGUGUGAGAGUGUGAGACUGAGAGGCGGGCCCGCGCGCCCGGUGUGUGUAUUUUGGCUUUCCUGCGUACGUACAUACAUGUAUGCGUGUGUUGAAUAAGGGGGCCACGGGUUCCGUAUACGUGG